This 492-nucleotide ribosomal RNA is filed under the name uncultured bacterium. RNAcentral's name for it is "partial 16S ribosomal RNA". It matches the Rfam family "Bacterial small subunit ribosomal RNA", at positions 29 to 507 of the family's 1533-position model. The record is from RNAcentral.
AGUGAACGCUGGCGGUAGGCCUAACACAUGCAAGUCGAACGGCAGCACAGUAAGAGCUUGCUCUUACGGGUGGCGAGUGGCGGACGGGUGAGGAAUACAUCGGAAUCUACUUUUUCGUGGGGGAUAACGUAGGGAAACUUACGCUAAUACCGCAUACGACCUACGGGUGAACGCAGGGGAUCUUCGGACCUUGCGCGAUUGAAUGAGCCGAUGUCGGAUUAGCUAGUUGGUGGGGUAAAGGCCCACCAAGGCGACGAUCCGUAGCUGGUCUGAGAGGAUGAUCAGCCACACUGGAACUGAGACACGGUCCAGACCCCUACGGGAGGCAGCAGUGGGGAAUAUUGGACAAUGGGCGCAAGCCUGAUCCAGCCAUACCGCGUGGGUGAAGAAGGCCUUCGGGUUGUAAAGCCCUUUUGUUGGGAAAGAAAAGCAGCAGGUUAAUACCCCGCUGUUCUGGCGGUACCCAAAGAAUAAGCACCGGCUAACUUCGUG